GGCGGACGGCUAGAGUAACACGUAGGAACGUACCCCAAAGUGAGGGAUAAGCAUUGGAAACAGUGUCUAAUACCGCAUGUGAUCUAAGGAUUAAAGCUCCGGCGCUUUGGGAACGGCCUGCGUAUAGAUUAGUUUGUUGGUGAGGUAAUGGCUCACCAAGACGACGAUCAUUAGCUGGUCUGAGAGGAUGAUCAGCCAGACUGGGACUGAGACACGGCCCAGACUCCUACGGGAGGCAGCAGUAGGGAAUAUUCCACAAUGGGCGAAAGNCUGAUGGAGCAACGCCGCGUGCAGGAUGAACCCCCUACGGGNCGUAAACUGCUUUGAUAUGUAGACGAAUAUGACGGGUAGCAUAUGAAUAAGGAUCGGCUAACUACCGUGCCAGCCGCCGCGG
Molecule: ribosomal RNA, 394 nt
Filed under: uncultured bacterium
Lineage: Bacteria
Description: bacterial SSU rRNA
Rfam family: Bacterial small subunit ribosomal RNA
Source: RNAcentral